RNAcentral lists this ribosomal RNA (681 nucleotides) under Bacillus sp. (in: firmicutes). Its description in RNAcentral is "bacterial SSU rRNA". It matches the Rfam family "Bacterial small subunit ribosomal RNA", at positions 119 to 786 of the family's 1533-position model. Lineage: Bacteria; Bacillati; Bacillota; Bacilli; Caryophanales; Bacillaceae. The record is from RNAcentral.
GGGCAACCUGCCUGURAGACUGGGAUAACUUCRGGAAACCUAAGCUAAUACCGGAUAGGAUCUUCUCCUUCAUGGGAGAUGAUUGAAAGAUGGUUUCGGCUAUCACUUACAGAUGGGCCCGCGGUGCAUUAGCUAGUUGGUGAGGUAACGGCUCACCAAGGCAACGAUGCAUAGCCGACCUGAGAGGGUGAUCGGCCACACUGGGACUGAGACACGGCCCAGACUCCUACGGGAGGCAGCAGUAGGGAAUCUUCCGCAAUGGACGAAAGUCUGACGGAGCAACGCCGCGUGAGUGAUGAAGGCUUUCGGGUCGUAAAACUCUGUUGUUAGGGAAGAACAAGUACAAGAGUAACUGCUYGUACCUUGACGGUACCUAACCAGAAAGCCACGGCUAACUACGUGCCAGCAGCCGCGGUAAUACGUAGGUGGCAAGCGUUAUCCGGAAUUAUUGGGCGUAAAGCGCGCGCAGGCGGUUUCUUAAGUCUGAUGUGAAAGCCCACGGCUCAACCGUGGAGGGUCAUUGGAAACUGGGGAACUUGAGUGCAGAAGAGAAAAGCGGAAUUCCACGUGUAGCGGUGAAAUGCGUAGAGAUGUGGAGGAACACCAGUGGCGAAGGCGGCUUUUUGGUCUGUAACUGACGCUGAGGCGCGAAAGCGUGGGGAGCAAACAGGAUUAGAUACC